GGAGAUGGUCCACAUUCUUAUUCUGGGUCAGAACAAGGAGAAUGAUACCAAUUUUUUAAAGAGAAGAUGAAGGGUUACUGCAAAUUCACAUCUACCCGAGUGACUGAAAGGUGAAGUGAAUGGAUCAGCAGAGAGUCCAUCUUGUUACCAUCUGCCCUCCUGUGUAUUCCUCAGCAUGGCCACCCUGACUGACUGAGUGAUUUGGCUGGGACCAGGAAGAAACUCCAUGAUCACCCCUGUGCACAUGGUCCAUUAUGAAACGACAGGGCUUCAGGACCACAGAAGAAAUGUGCAAAUCGGCUGAAGAGCAGGCCUUCGGAGGACUGCAGAGCAGGCAGAUCACAAGAAUGGAUACACUGAGUUAAGAUGCCCACCUUGAUCAAGAUUUGUUAGGUUGCCUCUGGAUUAUGAAAGAGACUAAGAAUGAAUGCUUUCCAAGCUGGUUUACUCAUUGUUCCUGGUCUUGAAGCUCUGUGGUUACAUCUAAGUGUUAGGAGCAGGAAGACCAAUGAUAAAUACCCAGGAGUGGAAUUACUGGGUUGGAUGG
Long non-coding RNA from Tupaia belangeri chinensis (Chinese tree shrew), 547 nucleotides. RefSeq lists it as uncharacterized. NCBI's taxonomy places the organism in Eukaryota, Metazoa, Chordata, Mammalia, Scandentia, Tupaiidae. The record is from RefSeq and is a predicted model, not a curated record. The transcript is spliced from 5 exons.